GUUGCUUCUACUGGUGAACUCAAUCUGUUUCAAUGAUGAUGUUCGUGUUUCCGAAGCAUAAAUGAAUAUUUAAGCCAGUUUUAAACAGCUUGUUGCAAUCUUCUUGCUUCUAUGCUACCUGUCUAUUGGUAUAUUU
This is a small nucleolar RNA of Impatiens glandulifera, 136 nucleotides long. RefSeq annotates it as small nucleolar RNA snoR137. NCBI's taxonomy places the organism in Eukaryota, Viridiplantae, Streptophyta, Magnoliopsida, Ericales, Balsaminaceae. The transcript has a single exon. The record is from RefSeq and is a predicted model, not a curated record.